AAAGCAAUUGCUUAACGAUUGUAUGCAUUGGAAACUUCUAGUCUAGAGUUUGGUAGAGAGUCCUGGAACUCCAUGUGGAGCGGUGAAAUGCGUAGAUAUAUGGAAGAACACCAGAGGCGAAGGCGAGGACUUGGGCCAAUACUGACGCUUAGGCUUGAAAGUGUGGGGAGCAAAUAGGAUUAGAUACCCUAGUAGUCCACACUGUAAACGAUGGAUGUUAAGUGUCGGAGCGAAUACUUCGGUGCUGCAGUUAACACAUUAAACAUCCUGCCUGAGUAGUACAUUCGCAAGAAUGAAACUCAAACGGAAUUGACGGGGACCCGCACAAGUGGUGGAGCAUGUUGCUUAAUUCGACGGUACACGAAAAACCUUACCUAGACUUGACAUCUUGGGCGAAGCUAUAGAAAUAUAGUGGAGGUCAACCCAAUGACAGGUGGUGCAUGGUUGUCGUCAGCUCGUGUCGUGAGAUGUUGGGUUAAGUCCCGCAACGAGCGCAACCCUUAUCGUUAGUUACUUUGUCUAACGAGACUGCCAACGUAAGUUGGAGGAAGGUGGGGAUGACGUCAAAUCAUCAUGCCCCUUAUGUCUAGGGCUGCAAACGUGCUACAAUGGCCAAUACAAACAGUUGCAAAUCCGUAAGGUGGAGCUAAUCUGUAAAGUUGGUCUCAGUUCGGAUUGAGGGCUGCAAUUCGCCCUCAUGAAGUCGGAAUCACUAGUAAUCGCGAAUCAGCCAUGUCGCGGUGAAUACGUUCUCGGGUCUUGUACACACCGCCCGUCAAA
Molecule: ribosomal RNA, 780 nt
Filed under: Mycoplasmoides gallisepticum
Lineage: Bacteria; Bacillati; Mycoplasmatota; Mycoplasmoidales; Mycoplasmoidaceae
Description: bacterial SSU rRNA
Rfam family: Bacterial small subunit ribosomal RNA
Source: RNAcentral